AACGCAAGUUGCGCCCCAACCCUUCUAGCCGAGGGCACGUCUGCCUGGGUGUCAAAAAUCUUCAUCCCCCCAUCCUCUCGAGGAUAGGGGACGGAAUCUGAUCUCCCGUGUGUUACCGCACGUGGUUGGCAAAAAUCCGAGCUAAGGAUUCCAGGAGCAUCUUGACAUGCGGUGGUGAAUUCAAUUCUCGUCAUAUAGUCAGACGUUCUUGUCCAAAAUCUCUUGAUGACCCAGAGUCCUCAACGCGACCCCAGGUCAGGCGGGAUCACCCGCUGAGUUUAA
RNAcentral lists this unclassified non-coding RNA (282 nucleotides) under uncultured fungus. RNAcentral describes it as "partial contains 5.8S ribosomal RNA, internal transcribed spacer 2, and large subunit ribosomal RNA". Lineage: Eukaryota; Fungi. The record is from RNAcentral.